GCUGAAACCAGAGCUUGCUUUGGUGGAUGAGUGGCGAACGGGUGAGUAACACGUGGGUGAUCUGCCCUACACUUUGGGAUAAGCCUGGGAAACUGGGUCUAAUACCGAAUAUUCACACCACCGUAGGGGUGGUGUGGAAAGCUUUAUGCGGUGUGGGAUGAGCCUGCGGCCUAUCAGCUUGUUGGUGGGGUAAUGGCCUACCAAGGCGUCGACGGGUAGCCGGCCUGAGAGGGUGUACGGCCACAUUGGGACUGAGACACGGCCCAGACUCCUACGGGAGGCAGCAGUGGGGAAUAUUGCACAAUGGGCGCAAGCCUGAUGCAGCGACGCCGCGUGGGGGAUGAAGGCCUUCGGGUUGUAAACUCCUUUCGCUAGGGACGAAGCCUUAUGGUGACGGUACCUGGAGAAGAAGCACCGGCUAACUACGUGCCAGCAGCCGCGGUAAUACGUAGGGUGCGAGCGUUGUCCGGAAUUACUGGGCGUAAAGAGCUCGUAGGUGGUUUGUCGCGUCGUCUGUGAAAUCCCGGGGCUUAACUUCGGGCGUGCAGGCGAUACGGGCAUAACUUGAGUGCUGUAGGGGAGACUGGAAUUCCUGGUGUAGCGGUGAAAUGCGCAGAUAUCAGGAGGAACACCAAUGGCGAAGGCAGGUCUCUGGGCAGUAACUGACGCU
RNAcentral lists this ribosomal RNA (670 nucleotides) under Corynebacterium glutamicum. Its description in RNAcentral is "bacterial SSU rRNA". It matches the Rfam family "Bacterial small subunit ribosomal RNA", at positions 66 to 747 of the family's 1533-position model. Lineage: Bacteria; Bacillati; Actinomycetota; Actinomycetes; Mycobacteriales; Corynebacteriaceae. The record is from RNAcentral.